GAUGAAGAACGCAGUGAAAUGCGAUAAGUAGUGUGAAUUGCAGAAUUCAGUGAAUCAUCGAAUCUUUGAACGCACAUUGCGCCCUUUGGUAUUCCAAAGGGCAUGCCUGUUCGAGCGUCAUUUGUACCCUCAAGCUUUGCUUGGUGUUGGGCGUCUUGUCUCUAGCUUUGCUGGAGACUCGCCUUAAAGUAAUUGGCAGCCGGCCUACUGGUUUCGGAGCGCAGCACAAGUCGCACUCUCUAUCAGCAAAGGUCUAGCAUCCAUUAAGCCUUUUUUUCGACUUUUGACCUCGGAUCAGGUAGGGAUACCCGCUGAACUUAAGCAUAUCAAUAAGCGGAGGA
RNAcentral lists this unclassified non-coding RNA (341 nucleotides) under soil metagenome. RNAcentral's name for it is "partial contains 5.8S ribosomal RNA, internal transcribed spacer 2, and large subunit ribosomal RNA". The stretch from base 1 to 120 matches the Rfam family "5.8S ribosomal RNA", at positions 35 to 154 of the family's 154-position model. The record is from RNAcentral.